UUGACAUCCUGCGAAUCCCUUGGAAACUUGGGAGUGCCUUCGGGAGCGCAGAGACAGGUGGUGCAUGGCUGUCGUCAGCUCGUGUCGUGAGAUGUUGGGUUAAGUCCCGCAACGAGCGCAACCCACGUCUUUAGUUGCCAGCAUUCAGUUGGGCACUCUAGAGAGACCGCCGGUGAUAAACCGGAGGAAGGUGUGGAUGACGUCAAGUCAUCAUGCCCCUUACAUCCUGGGCUACACACGUACUACAAUGCUACGGACAAAGGGCAGCAAACUCGCGAGAGCUAGCAAAUCCCAUAAACCGUGGCUCAGUUCAGAUCGUAGGCUGCAACUCGCCUACGUGAAGGAGGAAUCGCUAGUAAUCGCAGGUCAGCAUACUGCGGUGAAUACGUUCCCGGGUCUUGUACACAC
This 408-nucleotide ribosomal RNA is filed under the name uncultured bacterium. RNAcentral's name for it is "bacterial SSU rRNA". It matches the Rfam family "Bacterial small subunit ribosomal RNA", at positions 981 to 1390 of the family's 1533-position model. The record is from RNAcentral.